Molecule: unclassified non-coding RNA, 315 nt
Filed under: uncultured Sordariales
Lineage: Eukaryota; Fungi; Ascomycota; Sordariomycetes; Sordariales
Description: sequence contains ITS1
Rfam family: 5.8S ribosomal RNA (bases 1-105)
Source: RNAcentral
GAAAUGCGAUAAGUAAUGUGAAUUGCAGAAUUCAGUGAAUCAUCGAAUCUUUGAACGCACAUUGCGCCCGUUAGCAUUCUAGCGGGCAUGCCUGUUCGAGCGUCAUUUCAACCCUCAGAACCCCUGUAUUUUUAUGCUGGGUGUGCUGGUGUUGGGGCUUCUGCGGCUGCCGCAGGCCCUGAAAAACAGUGGCGGGCUCCGCUAUACUCCGAGCGCAGUAAUACUUCUCGCUCAGGGCGUGUAGUGGGGAUCUUGUCUUCUAAUUUAACUUAAAUGGUUGACCUCGGAUCAGGUAGGAAUACCCGCUGAACUUAA